CCUGGCUCAGAUUGAACGCGUGGCGGCAGGCCUAACACAUGCAAGUCGAGCGGUAGAGAGGUGCUUGCAUCUCUUGAGAGCGGCGGACGGGUGAGUAAUGCCUAGGAAUCUGCCUAGUGGUGGGGGAUAACGUCGGAAACGGACGCUAAUACCGCAUACGUCCUACGGGAGAAAGCGGGGGAUCUUCGGACCUCGCGCCAUUAGAUGAGCCUAGGUCGGAUUAGCUAGUUGGUGAGGUAAUGGCUCACCAAGGCGACGAUCCGUAACUGGUCUGAGAGGAUGAUCAGUCACACUGGAACUGAGACACGGUCCAGACUCCUACGGGAGGCAGCAGUGGGGAAUAUUGGACAAUGGGCGAAAGCCUGAUCCAGCCAUGCCGCGUGUGUGAAGAAGGUCUUCGGAUUGUAAAGCACUUUAAGUUGGGAGGAAGGGUAGUAACCUAAUACGUUGCUACUUUGACGUUACCGACAGAAUAAGCACCGGCUAACUUCGUG
RNAcentral lists this ribosomal RNA (494 nucleotides) under uncultured bacterium. RNAcentral's name for it is "bacterial SSU rRNA". It matches the Rfam family "Bacterial small subunit ribosomal RNA", at positions 18 to 507 of the family's 1533-position model. The record is from RNAcentral.